RNAcentral lists this non-coding RNA (179 nucleotides) under Clostridia bacterium. RNAcentral's name for it is "6S RNA". It matches the Rfam family "6S / SsrS RNA". From Rfam's summary of the family: E. coli 6S RNA was the first non coding RNA to be sequenced, but its function was unknown until recently. It consists of 184 nucleotides that fold into an extended hairpin structure with a large single-stranded internal bulge. The record is from RNAcentral. Lineage: Bacteria; Bacillati; Bacillota; Clostridia.
GAUACCCUGCCGUGUGCGUGGUGAAGCUGAAGUUAUGAACCAACACCAUUACCUGGGGAGCCGGACUCUGUUGGCGGCAUGUAGGCCUUCGUAGGAAGGAACAUAAAGCGAACAGGAGGCGCCCACCUGCAAGAGCGGGUUCAGGUAACAUUCAGCGAUAGCGCCAUGGCGGGGUUUUU